RNAcentral lists this ribosomal RNA (555 nucleotides) under uncultured Glomus. RNAcentral's name for it is "SSU rRNA". It matches the Rfam family "Eukaryotic small subunit ribosomal RNA", at positions 548 to 1103 of the family's 1831-position model. The record is from RNAcentral. Lineage: Eukaryota; Fungi; Glomeromycota; Glomeromycetes; Glomerales; Glomeraceae.
UUGGAGGGCAAGUCUGGUGCCAGCAGCCGCGGUAAUUCCAGCUCCAAUAGCGUAUAUUAAAGUUGUUGCAGUUAAGAAGCUCGUAGUUGAAUUUCGGGAUCAAUGUUUCGGUCAUGCCGUUGGUAUGUACUGAUAUUAUUGGUUUCUCACCUUCUAAAGAACCGUAAUGCCAUUAAUUUGGUGUCACGGGGAAUUAGGACUGUUACCUUGAAAAAAUUAGAGUGUUUAAAGCAGGCUCACGCUUGAAUACAUUAGCAUGGAAUAAUGAAAUAGGACAUCCGAUUCUAUUUUGUUGGUUUCUAGGAUCGAUGUAAUGAUUAAUAGGGAUAGUUGGGGGCAUUAGUAUUCAAUUGUCAGAGGUGAAAUUCUUGGAUUUAUUGAAGACUAACUACUGCGAAAGCAUUUGCCAAGGAUGUUUUCAUUAAUCAAGAACGAAAGUUAGGGGAUCGAAGACGAUCAGAUACCGUCGUAGUCUUAACCAUAAACUAUGCCGACUAGGGAUCGGAUGAUGUUAAUUUUUUAAUGACUCAUUCGGCACCUUACGGGAAACCAAAG